UCUUAUAAGAAAAUCUGAUGGAGGCUCAUGAUCUGCAUCAAAUAUUGCGACAUAAUCGCAUUUCUUCGCAUAGUCGAGAUCCAUUGCUUCUUUCAGGGCACCAGCUUUAUACCCAUUCCUGUUGUCCCUUGAUAUGUAAUUGCAGGUGUCUGAAAGUGUAAUUUGAUGUCAUGAUGAAGAUGGAUGACAGCUCUCUUGAAAAAGAGAAAAACAAAGAGAAGAUGAUUUCAUCAGAUGACAUAGUCAUUUAUGAUGCAUCAGAAAUGCAACUUUUUGACUGCUAGUUAUGUUUUCAUUUGGAACAAGAUAUUAUUCCCCUUCAUAACUUUCCUAUGAAGGAUACACUCUACAUAGAACUUACAUUCCUUUCUUGUCAGAGGAUUUCUAAUACAUUUCAUCCAUCUAUUACGAUCUAUCUAUGCAAAACGAGCUAUUCCAGAUCAAGUUACCUCCCUCUCAUUGAACAUGGGGAUUUGGACGAGGACCAGAGGAUAGGCCAGAGAGCCGAGCUCGACAUCCUGCGACAAUGGCGCCCACUUGUAGAUCCUUUCCGGCGUGCGCCCGGAGACCUUCACGUAGAGGGCGACAAGGGCCAUCGACAGCUUCUCAACUACCAGCAUCACCGACAUGGCCAAGCACACUACGACUGCCGCCUUCAUCGACGGCACCACCACCGCCGCCCUCACUGCGGCCCACGCCGUCGCAGCUCUGUUCAACACUUCCGCGGUCGCCAAGGCCGACAGCAGAUCGCAGGCUUGGUCGAUGUAGAUGGCCACGGUGGUGGAGACAUUGCCUGCAGUGCAAACACCAGUGUAAGCAUCGAGGGAGACGUACGUUAAAAUGAGCUGUGGAAAGUGCUGCGUGGAGAUGAGCACCUUCCAUGCUCCUGACCACCUCUUCUCUCUCUCUCUCUCUCUCUCUCUCUCUCUCUCUCUCUCUACUGUACCAAGUCUUGGGGGGAGAGAUAACACAGAGGAGAAGGACAAGGACAGCAUGCAUGUAUGCGUUUACACUGCACUCCGUGGGAGCUGGUGGCAAUCAUAAAAGAGUUGGUCGAUCAGAAUAUAUCUGAAUAUAAAAUGACCAUACAAAUCAGAAAUUACAUCAACUUUCCAUGCUCUACUACUGAAUUAUAUGUAUUGUCUAUGUGCUUUAAUCGUCACUUUUUCUUUCUCUUUUGAUGAACUUCUGUAUUAUCAAGUCAAAAAUAACAUUACUAGUGUUCUUAUUCUCA
This is a long non-coding RNA of Musa acuminata AAA Group (dessert banana), 1234 nucleotides long. RefSeq lists it as uncharacterized. The transcript is spliced from 4 exons. The record is from RefSeq and is a predicted model, not a curated record. NCBI's taxonomy places the organism in Eukaryota, Viridiplantae, Streptophyta, Magnoliopsida, Zingiberales, Musaceae.